This 468-nucleotide ribosomal RNA is filed under the name uncultured bacterium. Its description in RNAcentral is "partial 16S ribosomal RNA". It matches the Rfam family "Bacterial small subunit ribosomal RNA", at positions 28 to 507 of the family's 1533-position model. The record is from RNAcentral.
GACGAACGCUGGCGGCGUGCUUAACACAUGCAAGUCGAACGGAAAGGCCCUGCUUUUGUGGGGUGCUCGAGUGGCGAACGGGUGAGUAACACGUGAGUAACCUGCCCUUGACUUUGGGAUAACUUCAGGAAACUGGGGCUACUACCGGAUAGGAGCUCCUGCUGCAUGGUGGGGGUUGGAAAGUUUCGGCGGUUGGGGAUGGACUCGCGGCUUAUCAGCUUGUUGGUGGGGUAGUGGCUUACCAAGGCUUUGACGGGUAGCCGGCCUGGGAGGGUGACCGGCCACAUUGGGACUGAGAUACGGCCCAGACUCCUACGGGAGGCAGCAGGGGGGAAUAUGGCACAAUGGGCGGAAGCCUGAGGCAGCAACGCCGCGUGCGGGAUGACGGCCUUCGGGUGGUAAACCGCUUUCGCCUGUGACGAAGCGUGAGUGACGGUAAUGGGUAAAGAAGCACCGGCUAACUACGUG